RNAcentral lists this transfer RNA (87 nucleotides) under Candidatus Aminicenantota bacterium. Its description in RNAcentral is "Candidatus Aminicenantes bacterium tRNA-Ser". It matches the Rfam family "tRNA". Rfam says of the family: Transfer RNA (tRNA) molecules are approximately 80 nucleotides in length. Their secondary structure includes four short double-helical elements and three loops (D, anti-codon, and T loops). Further hydrogen bonds mediate the characteristic L-shaped molecular structure. tRNAs have two regions of fundamental functional importance: the anti-codon, which is responsible for specific mRNA codon recognition, and the 3' end, to which the tRNAs corresponding amino acid is attached (by aminoacyl-tRNA synthetases). tRNAs cope with the degeneracy of the genetic code in two manners: having more than one tRNA (with a specific anti-codon) for a particular amino acid; and 'wobble' base-pairing, i.e. permitting non-standard base-pairing at the 3rd anti-codon position. The record is from RNAcentral. Lineage: Bacteria; Candidatus Aminicenantota.
GGAGGGAUGGCAGAGCGGUCGAAUGCGGCGGUCUUGAAAACCGUUGUCCCUUUACGGGGACCGUGGGUUCGAAUCCUACUCCCUCCG